This 794-nucleotide ribosomal RNA is filed under the name uncultured archaeon. RNAcentral's name for it is "bacterial SSU rRNA". It matches the Rfam family "Archaeal small subunit ribosomal RNA", at positions 85 to 879 of the family's 1478-position model. The record is from RNAcentral.
ACUGCUCAGUAACACGUGCAUAACCUGCCCUUGGGUCUGGCAUAACCCCGGGAAACUGGGGAUAAUUCCGGAUAACGCAUAUAUGCUGGAAUGCUUUAUGYGUAAAAUGGAUUCGUCCGCCCAAGGAUGGGUCUGCGGCCUAUCAGGUAGUAGUGGGUGUAAUGUACCUACUAGCCUACAACGGGAACGGGUUGUGAGAGCAAGAGCCCGGAGAUGGAUUCUGAGACAUGAAUCCAGGCCCUACGGGUUGCAGCAGGCGCGAAAACUUUACAAUGCGGGAAACCGUGAUAAGGGGACACCGACUGCUAGCAUCAUAUGCUGGCUGUCCAGGUGUGUAAACUACACCUGUUAGCAAGCGCCGGGCAAGACCGUGCCAAUGGCCGCGGUAACACCGGCUGCCCGAGUGGUGAUCGUGAUUAUUGGGUCUAAAGGGUCAGUAGCCGGUUUGGUCAGUCCUCCGGGAAAUCUGAUUCCUCAACUAUUAGGCUUUCGGGGGAUACUGCCAGACUUGGAACCGGGAGAGGUAAGAGGUACUACAGGGGUAGGAGUGAAAUCUUGUAAUCCCUGUGGGACCACCUGUGGCGAAGGCGUCUUACCAGAACGGGUUCGACGGUGAGGGACGAAAGCUGGGGGCACGAACCGGAUUAGAUACCCGGGUAGUCCCAGCCGUAAACGAUGCUCGCUAGGUGUCAGGCAUGGCGCGACCGUGUCUGUGCCGCAGGGAAGCCGUGAAGCGAGCCACCUGGGAAGUACGGCCGCAAGGCUGAAACUUAAAGGAAUUGGCGGGGGAGCAC